RNAcentral lists this ribosomal RNA (460 nucleotides) under uncultured bacterium. RNAcentral describes it as "partial 16S ribosomal RNA". It matches the Rfam family "Bacterial small subunit ribosomal RNA", at positions 338 to 795 of the family's 1533-position model. The record is from RNAcentral.
CCUACGGGAGGCAGCAGUGAGGAAUAUUGGUCAAUGGACGAGAGUCUGAACCAGCCAAGUAGCGUGAAGGAUGACUGCCCUAUGGGUUGUAAACUUCUUUUAUAUGGGAAUAAAAUGUUCCACGUGUGGGAUUUUGUAUGUACCAUAUGAAUAAGGAUCGGCUAAUUCCGUGCCAGCAGCCGCGGUAAUACGGAGGAUCCGAGCGUUAUCCGGAUUUAUUGGGUUUAAAGGGAGCGUAGGUGGAUUAUUAAGUCAGUUGUGAAAGUUUGCGGCUCAACCGUAAAACUGCAGUUGAAACUGGCAGUCUUGAGUACAGUAGAGGUAGGCGGAAUUCGUGGUGUAGCGGUGAAAUGCUUAGAUAUCACGAAGAACUCCGAUUGCGAAGGCAGUUCACUGGACUGCAACUGACACUGAGGCUCGAAAGUGUGGGUAUCAAACAGGAUUAGAUACCCCAGUAGUC